This 296-nucleotide ribosomal RNA is filed under the name uncultured microorganism. RNAcentral's name for it is "partial 16S ribosomal RNA". It matches the Rfam family "Bacterial small subunit ribosomal RNA", at positions 505 to 796 of the family's 1533-position model. The record is from RNAcentral.
GUGCCAGCAGCCCGCGGUAAUACGUAGGGCGCAAGCGUUAUCCAGGAAUUAUUGGGCGUAAAGAGCUCGUAGGCCGGUUUGUCGCGUCUGCCGUGAAAGUCCGGGGCUCAACUCCGGAUCUGCGGUGGGUACGGGCAGACUAGAGUGAUGUAGGGGAGACCUGGAAUUCCUGGUGUAGCGGUGAAAUGCGCAGAUAUCAGGAGGAACACCGAUGGCGAAGGCAGGUCUCUGGGCAUUAACUGACGCUGAGGAGCGAAAGCAUGGGGAGCGAACAGGAUUAGAUACCCUGGUAGUCC